GUCGUAGCUCAGUGGUAGUACAUCUGCUCAGUAUGCAGAAGGUCCCAGGUCCAAACCCUGGCAUCUCCA
Non-coding RNA from Podarcis lilfordi (Lilford's wall lizard), 69 nucleotides. The record is from the annotation of a GenBank genome assembly. NCBI's taxonomy places the organism in Eukaryota, Metazoa, Chordata, Lepidosauria, Squamata, Lacertidae.